This is a non-coding RNA of Myxocyprinus asiaticus (Chinese sucker), 1827 nucleotides long. The record is from the annotation of a RefSeq genome assembly. NCBI's taxonomy places the organism in Eukaryota, Metazoa, Chordata, Actinopteri, Cypriniformes, Catostomidae.
AUGAAGAACAUCUAUUCUCCUUUAAACUGUAUUCUAAAGUUACUCUUGUACUGCAUCUAAAAUACAUCAUGAAUAAAUCCAUUUCAAGUUUGAGACAAUCCUAUUUAUCAGAGUAAGAAUACUCAGGGAGAGGGUGGAGCUUUCUCUAAAAGGGUAUAAAUGUACAGUACAAGGGACUGAUUUAGAGUCAUCCUACUUUGACUUUGUCAUCACUCCUCUGAAGAUCAUCCAUCAUGUUUCUCUUUUGUUGGAUGUCAUUUUCAUUAUUUAUUGGUAAGAGAUGUUCCAAUAUUCAGGGUAUCAUCAUGAUCAAAGAUAAACAAUUAAAGCCAGAGAAUGUGACACAUGGACAAAGUUAAUUUUGAUGAGUAAAUCUGUCUUCUGCUUAAUAAAUAAAAGAUGCAUUUCUUUUUUUACAGGGGAUUCCUUUGCAAACACAAUAAUACCAUUAUCCUCUGAAAUAUGAUGAAUUAAUCACUCUGUAAUAAAUAUUGCAUAAUAUAGAUUUAAAUGAUUAAUUCCACAAUUGCCAAGUUAUUACAUAGUAACAGCACUAUGUAGAACAGUUAGAGGUUACUUAGUAUAGAACAGUGAAAACAGCUUGCAAAAUAGAGCUUUUCUCUUCUCUCACCCUCAACCCUACACAGCUUAAAUAUUUAAAUUACCACAGGGUGGCGUUCCAUACUUAAAUCAUAGUGUUUCACCAGGGGCAAGGCAUAUAUUGGUCUGUGCCAUUUCAUUCCAUCAUAUUGUUGUGCACUUAUAAUAUUUUCAAUGCUUGCGGGUGGGAUUUAUUAACUCAUUUUAUUCAUCAUCAACUCUUCUCAUUAAUAUUAAAAGAAUAUCAGAAAUCCACCUAACUAAUCACAGUAAUUAAUUCACAUUAUUAUAAUUUUUGGGGGGGAAUGUAAUAACAUCUCAUAGAUCUGAGAAAACUUCAAAGCAAGAGGUAACAGUGAUACUUAAUGCAUAUAAAUACAGUUUAUACAUUAUAUAGGAUAAAGUUAAAGUUAACGUUCAAGUUUGAGUUUUUGCAAAGUCAGAUAUAAUUUCAUGUUGGCACAAUUAGUUUAUCUGCCAUGUUCCAAAAAAGUGAGCAUGAAAACAGACUGAUUGGGUGAACUUAAUUGGAUAUACAAAUAAAGAAGAGCUCAAAGUGGGAAUACUGACUACUAUAAUGCUCAUAGGCCUACUGCUCUGUUUUUACAAAAGAAUUGAGAGUGUGUUAAGUCAUAGACACAUGAAAUAUAAUAAAACAUCUUACUUCUUAUAUUUCUUUUCUCCCAAACAAUAAACAACAUAUCUAUGCUUUCAUACAGCCUCAUUAGGUGCUCAGAACAAAUAGAGAAUAAGCAGUCAUUUACAGGGUGGAGCUUUCUGAGGAAAAGUGAAACAGAAAAGCAGGAGGCUCUUACUGUAGGUCUGCUGUUGCUCUUUAAAUAUUCAGUCAUAAUGAUGUUUCUUUACUUUACAUUUAUGACAGUUUUUACAGAGAAUGUUCAUGCAAAUGCAAUUACACCCCUCUCUACUAAAAAGGAUGCUUUAGAAGGAGAAAAGGUUACUAUUUACUGUAACUACAGUGGAAGUAGUAUUGACAGUUUUCAGUGGUACAGACAGUAUGCCAACACUGCCCCAGAAUUUCUCCUAAUGUCUUUUGAGAAUGCGGAUCCAGCACAGAAGGACCGACUUGCUGCUAAAGCUCAUAAGGACAAGAAACAACUUGACCUGGAGAUCUCCAAAACUGAAGUGGCAGACGCUGCAAUAUACUACUGCGCCCUGGUGCCCACAGUAAGAGGAAACCCUUCUACACUGUACAAAAACCUGUGA